GAGCGAGGAGACAAAAACCCGAUCCCAUCUCGAACUCGGCCGUUAAACUCCUCAGCGCCGAUGGUACUGUGUCUCAAGACCCGGGAGAGUAGGUCAUUGCCGGGC
RNAcentral lists this ribosomal RNA (105 nucleotides) under Pseudomonadota bacterium. The record is from RNAcentral. Lineage: Bacteria; Pseudomonadati; Pseudomonadota.